This is a non-coding RNA of Myodes glareolus (Bank vole), 716 nucleotides long. The record is from RefSeq and is a predicted model, not a curated record. NCBI's taxonomy places the organism in Eukaryota, Metazoa, Chordata, Mammalia, Rodentia, Cricetidae.
GAAGCACCAAUUAAAUCUUUUAUGAGUUUUACACAUGAUCCGUGUGUCUCUUUGCAGCAACGGAACACUGACUAAGACCUAUAGGAAUGUGGAAAUUCAUGUAGACGAAGGAGUCAAGAGUUUUGCAGCAGGUACCUCUGAGGGGAGUUCAAGGAAGAGCAAGGAGAACCAUGCCCCCUCAGAAGCACAUAGCGGGUGAAGUGGGAGAGGCUGUCGGAUGAGAUCCCACAGUGGCUUUCAGGCCAUUUUCAGAAUUUGGAGUUUCAUCUGACUGAAGACAAAAGAAAAAUUUGAGGACAUGUGACAUGAUUUGCCUUUUUCACAAAAGAAGAAAAGACAGACCUGACAACAUGCACAAAAAUCAGAGCUAGCUCCGUGUUCCUCAGAGGUCCACGAUGGAAUGCUGACUCUGAACGAGAAAGACAAAGCAAAACUUUCUGGCCCACACUCAUCUCAACUGACAGAAGAAGUUAUGAGCUGGAGUGAAUGGCUGAGUGAAUAAAAGAACUUGUUGCUUUCUCCAGAGGAUCUGAGUUCAGUUCCCAGCAACCACCUUGUGGUUCACAAACUUCUGUUCCAGCGGUGGAUGCCCACACAAACAUGCAACAAAACACUCAUCUAUAGAUCAAAUAAGUAUCUACCUAAUGUUAAAAAAAAUGAAGAAUUCCCCAAAGUAGUAGCGUGUGCAUCUCUGUGUGUGUGUGUGUGUGUGUGUG